AUACGUAGGUGGCAAGCGUUGUCCGGAAUUAUUGGGCGUAAAGCGCAUGUAGGCGGUUUGGUAAGUCGGUCGUGAAAAUGCGGUGCUUAACGCCGUAUGGCGAUUGAAACUGCUGAACUUGAGUGCAGGAGAGGUAAGUGGAAUUCCCAGUGUAGCGGUGAAAUGCGUAGAGAUUGGGAGGAACACCAGUGGCGAAGGCGGGUAACUGGACUGCAACUGACGCUGAGGCGCGAAAGUGUGGGGAGCAAACAGGAUUAGAUACCCUGGUAGUCCACACUGUAAACGAUGAGUGCUAGGUGUAAGAGGUAUCGACCCCUUUUGUGCCGGAGUCAACACAAUAAGCAUUCCGCCUGGGGAGUACGGCCGCAAGGUUGAAACUCAAAGGAAUUGACGGG
This 395-nucleotide ribosomal RNA is filed under the name uncultured bacterium. RNAcentral describes it as "partial 16S ribosomal RNA". It matches the Rfam family "Bacterial small subunit ribosomal RNA", at positions 523 to 917 of the family's 1533-position model. The record is from RNAcentral.